UUCUUCAUCUUCUCCGACGCGUCCGUCGACGUCGCGUUCUCGAACCCGUCGAGGCACGUCUCCUGGUACGUCAGCGCCGAGCUGAGCCACGUCUUGAGGUCGUCGACGGCGUGCUUGAAGUUGCUCAUCUCGAACCCCCCGAGCUUGUCGAACGUCGUCUUGAGGUCGUCGAUGGCGUAGUCGAGCAGCUCCUUGCAGUCCUUGAGCGCGCCCGACGUGCGCUGGUCGUUCUUGAGGUCGUUCAGCACGGUGGACUCCCGCACCGCCUGCUCGAUCUUCUCCGACGUCGCCUUGAAGAUGGCCUUGGCGAGGUCCGUCGGGUUCGACGCGUUCCCGGCCGACGCCUCCAGCGUGCUCUCGCACGUCUCCCGGUAGUCCACCGGCUGGCAGAAGGACUUGAUCGACUUCACCGACGUCGACAGCUCGCCGUCGCCCUUGUCAUUGCCCGAGCCGCUCUUGAACGACACCACGCACACCGCCGCCACCACCGCCACCACCAGCACGGUCGACGCGCCGAUGAUCGCGCCUUUGCUCAUGGCAACAAUGCCGAGACGACCAGCGCCUCACGAUAUCAAAAUGGUGUCGUCGAUCGUCCCCUACCCCAGUGGAAGGGGGCCCGGUUUUAUUUGGUGUCUUGGUGGCGCCGUCGCCGAUCAUCACCAGGUUCGUCACGUUGCGCGCCACGGACACGUACUCCUUGUACGUCCCGGCCUUCACGUACAUCACGUACGUGGCCGUCGCCUUGAUGGGCACCUUGGCCAGCGCCUCGUUGAUGGUCUUGAAGUCGCCGCUGCCGUCGGCCGCCACCGUCACGUCCGGCUUGAACUCCGGCGCGCCGGGGGACGCCUGCAGCAGACGCCGCUUCGCGUCGGAUAUCCACCCGGGCAGGCCGUCGUCGCCGAGCAGGCGCCGGCUGAAGCUGGGCAGAUCCAGGUUCGCCAGCGUGUCCCCGAACUGGUCCACGAGCGCCAGGAUGUUCUCCGUCAGCUCCUGCGAGCUCUUGAGCGCGUUCUUCAUCUUCUCCGACGCGUCCGUCGACGUCGCGUUCUCGAACCCGUCGAGGCACGUCUCCUGGUACGUCAGCGCCGAGCUGAGCCACGUCUUGAGGUCGUCGACGGCGUGCUUGAAGUUGCUCAUCUCGAACCCCCCGAGCUUGUCGAACGUCGUCUUGAGGUCGUCGAUGGCGUAGUCGAGCAGCUCCUUGCAGUCCUUGAGCGCGCCCGACGUGCGCUGGUCGUUCUUGAGGUCGUUCAGCACGGUGG
RNAcentral lists this long non-coding RNA (1262 nucleotides) under Oryza brachyantha (malo sina). RNAcentral's name for it is "long non-coding RNA (OBRA_LNC000751)". The record is from RNAcentral. Lineage: Eukaryota; Viridiplantae; Streptophyta; Magnoliopsida; Poales; Poaceae.